RNAcentral lists this transfer RNA (95 nucleotides) under Streptomyces noursei. Its description in RNAcentral is "tRNA-Ala". Lineage: Bacteria; Bacillati; Actinomycetota; Actinomycetes; Kitasatosporales; Streptomycetaceae. The record is from RNAcentral.
AGCGGCGCUGGUAGGGCGGGCGGCGACCCGCCGCGGUGCGGGCGGCGGCCGUUUCCGGGCGGUGGCUGCGCAGUUCGGCCACGGCGUGCCGGCGC